AGAGUUUGAUCAUGGCUCAGAACGUACGCUGGCGGCACGCCUAACACAUGCAAGUCGAACGAAGUAGCAAUACUUAGUGGCAGACGGGUGAGUAACAUGUAGGUAUCUACCCUUUGGCCUGGAAUAACACGAGGAAACUUGUGCUAAUACCGGAUAAGUCUUUACGGAGAAAGCUUUAUGCACCAUUGGAUGAGCCUGCAUUUGAUUAGUUUGUUGGUAGGGUAAUGGCUUACCAAGACUGUGAUCAAUAGCUGAUUUGAGAGGAUGAUCAGCCACAUUGGGACUGAGACACGGCCCAAACUCCUACGGGAGGCAGCAGUGGGGAAUCUUGCACAAUGGAGGAAACUCUGAUGCAGCGAUGCCGCGUGAGUGAAGAAGGCCUUUGGGUUGUAAAGCUCUUUCGUCGGGGAAGAAAAUGACUGUACCCGAAUAAGAAGGUCCGGCUAACUUCGUGCCAGCAGCCGCGGUAAUACGAAGGGACCUAGCGUAGUUCGGAAUUACUGGGCUUAAAGAGUUCGUAGGUGGUUGAAAAAGUUGGUGGUGAAAUCCCAGAGCUUAACUCUGGAACUGCCAUCAAAACUUUUCAGCUAGAGUUUGAUAGAGGAAAGCAGAAUUUCUAGUGUAGAGGUGAAAUUCGUAGAUAUUAGAAAGAAUACCAAUUGCGAAGGCAGCUUUCUGGAUCAUUACUGACACUGAGGAACGAAAGCAUGGGUAGCGAAGAGGAUUAGAUACCCUCGUAGUCCAUGCCGUAAACGAUGUGUGUUAGACGUUGGAAAUUUAUUUUCAGUGUCGCAGCGAAAGCGAUAAACACACCGCCUGGGGAGUACGACCGCAAGGUUAAAACUCAAAUGAAUUGACGGGGACCCGCACAAGUAGUGGAGCAUGUGGUUUAAUUCGAAGAUACGCGCAGAACCUUACCAACACUUGACAUGUUCGUCGCGACUUUAAGAGAUUAAAGUUUUCGGUUCGGCCGGACGAAACACAGGUGCUGCAUGGCUGUCGUCAGCUCGUGUCGUGAGAUGUUGGGUUAAGUCCCGCAACGAGCGCAACCCUCACUUUUAGUUGCCAUCAUUAAGUUGGGCACUCUGAAAGAACUGCCAGUGAUAAGCUGGAGGAAGGUGGGGAUGACGUCAAGUCCUCAUGGCCCUUACGUGUUGGGCUACACACGUGCUACAAUGAUAUUUACAAAAGGAAGCAAAACGGCGACGUUUAGCAAAUCCUAAAAAAAUAUCUCAGUUCGGAUUGCACUCUGCAACUCGAGUGCAUGAAGCUGGAAUUACUAGUAAUCGUGGAUCAGCGUGCCACGGUGAAUGCGUUCCCGGGUCUUGUACACACCGCCCGUCACACCAUGGGAGUUGGUUCUACCUUAAGGCAAGGUUUAAAACCCUUGACCACGGUAUAGUCAGCGACUGGGGUGAAGUCAUAACAAGGUAGCCGUA
This 1439-nucleotide ribosomal RNA is filed under the name uncultured bacterium. Its description in RNAcentral is "bacterial SSU rRNA". It matches the Rfam family "Bacterial small subunit ribosomal RNA". The record is from RNAcentral.